GGCGGCGUGCUUAACACAUGCAAGUCGAACGAAGCUGUUAAAAGGAAGUCUUCGGAUGGAAUUUUAACAGACUUAGUGGCGGACGGGUGAGUAACGCGUGGAUAACCUGCCUUAUACAGGGGGAUAACGGAGAGAAAUUUCCGCUAAGACCGCAUAAGACCACAGCACCGCAUGGUGCAGGGGUAAAAUAUUAAUAGGUAUAAGAUGGAUCCGCGUCCGAUUAGCUGGUUGGUGAGGUAGAGGCUCACCAAGGCGACGAUCGGUAGCCGGCCUGAGAGGGUGAACGGCCACAUUGGGACUGAGACACGGCCCAAACUCCUACGGGAGGCAGCAGUGGGGAAUAUUGGACAAUGGGGGAAACCCUGAUCCAGCGACGCCGCGUGAGUGAAGAAGUAUUUCGGUAUGUAAAGCUCUAUCAGCAGGGAAGAAAAUGACGGUACCUGACUAGA
RNAcentral lists this ribosomal RNA (449 nucleotides) under Lachnoanaerobaculum saburreum. RNAcentral's name for it is "bacterial SSU rRNA". It matches the Rfam family "Bacterial small subunit ribosomal RNA", at positions 38 to 488 of the family's 1533-position model. Lineage: Bacteria; Bacillati; Bacillota; Clostridia; Lachnospirales; Lachnospiraceae. The record is from RNAcentral.